UUAAGCGACUAAGCGUACACGGUGGAUGCCCUGGCAGUCAGAGGCGAUGAAGGGCGUGCUAAUCUGCGAUAAGCGCCGGUAAGGUGAUAUGAACCGUUAUAACCGGCGAUACCCGAAUGGGGAAACCCAGUGUGACUCGUCACACUAUCAUUAACUGAAUCCAUAGGUUAAUGAGGCGAACCGGGGGAACUGAAACAUCUAAGUACCCCGAGGAAAAGAAAUCAACCGAGAUUCCCCCAGUAGCGGCGAGCGAACGGGGAGGAGCCCAGAGCCUGAAUCAGCAUGUGUGUUAGUGGAAGCGUCUGGAAAGGCGCGCGAUACAGGGUGACAGCCCCGUACACAAAAGCGCAUGUGCUGUGAGCUCGAUGAGUAGGGCGGGACACGUGGUAUCCUGUCUGAAUAUGGGGGGACCAUCCUCCAAGGCUAAAUACUCCUGACUGACCGAUAGUGAACCAGUACCGUGAGGGAAAGGCGAAAAGAACCCCGGCGAGGGGAGUGAAAAAGAACCUGAAACCGUGUACGUACAAGCAGUGGGAGCACCCUUUUGGGUGUGACUGCGUACCUUUUGUAUAAUGGGUCAGCGACUUAUAUUCUGUAGCAAGGUUAACCGCAUAGGGGAGCCGGAGGGAAACCGAGUCUUAAUUGGGCGUUAAGUUGCAGGGUAUAGACCCGAAACCCGGUGAUCUAGCCAUGGGCAGGUUGAAGGUUGGGUAACACUAACUGGAGGACCGAACCGACUAAUGUUGAAAAAUUAGCGGAUGACCUGUGGCUGGGGGUGAAAGGCCAAUCAAACCGGGAGAUAGCUGGUUCUCCCCGAAAGCUAUUUAGGUAGCGCCUCGUGAAUUCAUCUCCGGGGGUAGAGCACUGUUUCGGCUAGGGGGCCAUCCCGGCUUACCAACCCGAUGCAAACUGCGAAUACCGGAGAAUGUUAUCACGGGAGACACACGGCGGGUGCUAACGUCCGUCGUGAAGAGGGAAACAACCCAGACCGCCAGCUAAGGUCCCAAAGUCAUGGUUAAGUGGGAAACGAUGUGGGAAGGCCCAGACAGCCAGGAUGUUGGCUUAGAAGCAGCCAUCAUUUAAAGAAAGCGUAAUAGCUCACUGGUCGAGUCGGCCUGCGCGGAAGAUGUAACGGGGCUAAACCAUGCACCGAAGCUGCGGCAGCGACGCUUAUGCGUUGUUGGGUAGGGGAGCGUUCUGUAAGCCUGCGAAGGUGGCCUGUGAGGGUUGCUGGAGGUAUCAGAAGUGCGAAUGCUGACAUAAGUAACGAUAAAGCGGGUGAAAAGCCCGCUCGCCGGAAGACCAAGGGUUCCUGUCCAACGUUAAUCGGGGCAGGGUGAGUCGACCCCUAAGGCGAGGCCGAAAGGCGUAGUCGAUGGGAAACGGGUUAAUAUUCCCGUACUUGGUGUUACUGCGAAGGGGGGACGGAGAAGGCUAUGUUGGCCGGGCGACGGUUGUCCCGGUUUAAGCGUGUAGGUGUGUGUUCCAGGUAAAUCCGGUUCACUUUAACACUGAGGCGUGACGACGAGGCACUACGGUGCUGAAGCAACAAAUGCCCUGCUUCCAGGAAAAGCCUCUAAGCAUCAGGUAACAUCAAAUCGUACCCCAAACCGACACAGGUGGUCAGGUAGAGAAUACCAAGGCGCUUGAGAGAACUCGGGUGAAGGAACUAGGCAAAAUGGUGCCGUAACUUCGGGAGAAGGCACGCUGACACGUAGGUGAAGUGAUUUACUCAUGGAGCUGAAGUCAGUCGAAGAUACCAGCUGGCUGCAACUGUUUAUUAAAAACACAGCACUGUGCAAACACGAAAGUGGACGUAUACGGUGUGACGCCUGCCCGGUGCCGGAAGGUUAAUUGAUGGGGUCAGCGCAAGCGAAGCUCCUGAUCGAAGCCCCGGUAAACGGCGGCCGUAACUAUAACGGUCCUAAGGUAGCGAAAUUCCUUGUCGGGUAAGUUCCGACCUGCACGAAUGGCGUAAUGAUGGCCAGGCUGUCUCCACCCGAGACUCAGUGAAAUUGAACUCGCUGUGAAGAUGCAGUGUACCCGCGGCAAGACGGAAAGACCCCGUGAACCUUUACUAUAGCUUGACACUGAACAUUGAGCCUUGAUGUGUAGGAUAGGUGGGAGGCUUUGAAGUGUGGACGCCAGUCUGCAUGGAGCCGACCUUGAAAUACCACCCUUUAAUGUUUGAUGUUCUAACGUGGACCCGUGAUCCGGGUUGCGGACAGUGUCUGGUGGGUAGUUUGACUGGGGCGGUCUCCUCCUAAAGAGUAACGGAGGAGCACGAAGGUUGGCUAAUCCUGGUCGGACAUCAGGAGGUUAGUGCAAUGGCAUAAGCCAGCUUGACUGCGAGCGUGACGGCGCGAGCAGGUGCGAAAGCAGGUCAUAGUGAUCCGGUGGUUCUGAAUGGAAGGGCCAUCGCUCAACGGAUAAAAGGUACUCCGGGGAUAACAGGCUGAUACCGCCCAAGAGUUCAUAUCGACGGCGGUGUUUGGCACCUCGAUGUCGGCUCAUCACAUCCUGGGGCUGAAGUAGGUCCCAAGGGUAUGGCUGUUCGCCAUUUAAAGUGGUACGCGAGCUGGGUUUAGAACGUCGUGAGACAGUUCGGUCCCUAUCUGCCGUGGGCGCUGGAGAACUGAGGGGGGCUGCUCCUAGUACGAGAGGACCGGAGUGGACGCAUCACUGGUGUUCGGGUUGUCAUGCCAAUGGCACUGCCCGGUAGCUAAAUGCGGAAGAGAUAAGUGCUGAAAGCAUCUAAGCACGAAACUUGCCCCGAGAUGAGUUCUCCCUGAGACUUAAAGUCUCCUGAAGGAACGUUGAAGACGACGACGUUGAUAGGCCGGGUGUGUAAGCGCAGCGAUGCGUUGAGCUAACCGGUACUAAUGAACCGUGAGGCUUAACCUU
RNAcentral lists this ribosomal RNA (2904 nucleotides) under Salmonella enterica. RNAcentral's name for it is "bacterial LSU rRNA". It matches the Rfam family "Bacterial large subunit ribosomal RNA". The record is from RNAcentral. Lineage: Bacteria; Pseudomonadati; Pseudomonadota; Gammaproteobacteria; Enterobacterales; Enterobacteriaceae.